RNAcentral lists this ribosomal RNA (105 nucleotides) under Pediococcus acidilactici. RNAcentral's name for it is "partial 16S ribosomal RNA". The stretch from base 1 to 94 matches the Rfam family "Bacterial small subunit ribosomal RNA", at positions 1440 to 1533 of the family's 1533-position model. Lineage: Bacteria; Bacillati; Bacillota; Bacilli; Lactobacillales; Lactobacillaceae. The record is from RNAcentral.
UUUUAGGAGCUAGCCGUCUAAGGUGGGACAGAUGAUUAGGGUGAAGUCGUAACAAGGUAGCCGUAGGAGAACCUGCGGCUGGAUCACCUCCUUUCUAAGGAAUAA